ACACGUGGGGGGCGAGCGUUGUCCGGAAUUACUGGGCGUAAAGGGCGUGUAGGCGGCCGGUCAAGUCAGCUGUGAAAUCCCCCGGCUCAACCGGGGAGUUGCAGUUGAAACUGGUCGGCUUGAGUGCAGGAGAGGAGGGUGGAAUUCCUGGUGUAGCGGUGAAAUGCGUAGAUAUCAGGAGGAACACCGGUGGCGAAGGCGACCUUCUGGCCUGUUACUGACGCUGAGGCGCGAAAGCCAGGGGAGCGAACAGGAUUAGAUACCCUGGUAGUCCUGGCCGUAAACGCUGGGUACUAGGUGUAGGGGGUUUAGAUACCUUCUGUGCCGUAGUUAACGCAUUAAGUACCCCGCCUGGGGAGUACGAUCGCAAGGUUGAA
This 377-nucleotide ribosomal RNA is filed under the name uncultured bacterium. Its description in RNAcentral is "bacterial SSU rRNA". It matches the Rfam family "Bacterial small subunit ribosomal RNA", at positions 523 to 898 of the family's 1533-position model. The record is from RNAcentral.